AUUGAACGCUGGCGGCAUGCCUUACACAUGCAAGUCGAACGGCAGCACGGGUGCUUGCACCUGGUGGCGAGUGGCGAACGGGUGAGUAAUACAUCGGAACAUGUCCUGUAGUGGGGGAUAGCCCGGCGAAAGCCGGAUUAAUACCGCAUACGAUCUACGGAUGAAAGCGGGGGACCUUCGGGCCUCGCGCUAUAGGGUUGGCCGAUGCUGAUUAGCUAGUUGGUGGGGUAAAGGCCUACCAAGGCGACGAUCAGUAGCUGGUCUGAGAGGACGACCAGCCACACUGGGACUGAGACACGGCCCAGACUCCUACGGGAGGCAGCAGUGGGGAAUUUUGGACAAUGGGCGAAAGCCUGAUCCAGCAAUGCCGCGUGUGUGAAGAAGGCCUUCGGGUUGUAAAGCACUUUUGUCCGGAAAGAAAUCCUUGGCUCUAAUACAGUCGGGGGAUGACGGUACCGGAAGAAUAAGCACCGGCUAACUACGUG
This 485-nucleotide ribosomal RNA is filed under the name uncultured bacterium. RNAcentral describes it as "partial 16S ribosomal RNA". It matches the Rfam family "Bacterial small subunit ribosomal RNA", at positions 30 to 507 of the family's 1533-position model. The record is from RNAcentral.